Molecule: ribosomal RNA, 463 nt
Filed under: uncultured bacterium
Lineage: Bacteria
Description: partial 16S ribosomal RNA
Rfam family: Bacterial small subunit ribosomal RNA
Source: RNAcentral
GAUGAACGCUGACAGAAUGCUUAACACAUGCAAGUCGAUGGGGAAGUGGUGCUUGCACCAUGGUAACCAUGGCGGACGGGUGAGUAACGCGUAAGGAACUUGCCUGCGGGACUGGGAUAACAGCAGGAAACUGCUGAUAAUACCGGAUAAGGUCAUUAAGCUGCAUAGCUUAGUGAUGAAAGGAGACGCCUGCGGAGAGCCUUGCGUCCUAUUAGCUAGUUGGAGGGGUAACGGCCCACCAAGGCGAAGAUAGGUAGCCGGCCUGAGAGGGUGGACGGCCACAAGGGGACUGAGAUACGGCCCUUAAUACUACGGGAGGCAGCAGUGGGGAAUAUUGGACAAUGGGGGCAACCCUGAUCCAGCAAUUCUGUGUGCACGAAGACGGUUUUCGGAUUGUAAAGUGCUUUCAGCAGGGAAGAAGGAAGUGACGGUACCUGCAGAAGAAGCGACGGCUAAAUACGUG